This 304-nucleotide ribosomal RNA is filed under the name uncultured bacterium. RNAcentral describes it as "partial 16S ribosomal RNA". It matches the Rfam family "Bacterial small subunit ribosomal RNA", at positions 509 to 807 of the family's 1533-position model. The record is from RNAcentral.
CAGCAGUCGCCGCGGUAAUACGAAGGGUGCAAGCGUUAAUCGGAAUUACUGGGCGUAAAGCGUGCGUAGGCGGUGAGUUAAGUCUGCUGUGAAAUCCCCGGGCUCAACCUGGGAAUGGCAGUGGAUACUGGCUCGCUAGAGUGUGUCAGAGGAUGGUGGAAUUCCCGGUGUAGCGGUGAAAUGCGUAGAGAUGUGGAGGAACACCGAUGGCGAAGGCAGCCCCCUGGGCCAAUACUGACGCUCAUGCACGAAAGCGUGGGGAGCAAACAGGAUUAGAUACCCCUGUAGUCCCUGUCUCUUAUAC